Molecule: ribosomal RNA, 464 nt
Filed under: uncultured bacterium
Lineage: Bacteria
Description: bacterial SSU rRNA
Rfam family: Bacterial small subunit ribosomal RNA
Source: RNAcentral
AUUGAACGCUGGCGGCAUGCCUUACACAUGCAAGUCGAACGGUAACAGGUCUUCGGAUGCUGACGAGUGGCGAACGGGUGAGUAAUACAUCGGAACGUGCCCGAUCGUGGGGGAUAACGCAGCGAAAAGCUGUGCUAAUACCGCAUACGAUCUACGGAUGAAAGCGGGGGAUCGCAAGACCUCGCGCGGACGGAGCGGCCGAUGGCAGAUUAGGUAGUUGGUGGGAUAAAAGCUUACCAAGCCGACGAUCUGUAGCUGGUCUGAGAGGACGACCAGCCACACUGGGACUGAGACACGGCCCAGACUCCUACGGGAGGCAGCAGUGGGGAAUUUUGGACAAUGGGCGCAAGCCUGAUCCAGCCAUGCCGCGUGCAGGAUGAAGGCCUUCGGGUUGUAAACCUCUUUUAGCAGGGAAGAAGCGAAAGUGACGGUACCUGCAGAAAAAAGCGCCGGCUAACUACGUG